CCUACGGGUGGCAGCAGUGGGGAAUAUUGCACAAUGGGGGAAACCCUGAUGCAGCGACGCCGCGUGAAGGAAGAAGGCUUUCGGGUUGUAAACUUCUUUUAAGGGGGAAGAGCAGAAGACGGUACCCCUUGAAUAAGCCACGGCUAACUACGUGCCAGCAGCCGCGGGAAUACGUAGGUGGCAAGCGUUGUCCGGAGUUACUGGGUGGAAAGGGCGUGCAGCCGGGGAGACAAGUCAGAUGUGUAAUCCGCAGGCUCAACCUGCGAACGGCAUUUGAAACUGUUUCCCUUGAGUAUCGGUGAGGUAAGCGGAAGUCAUGGUGGAGCGGUGAAAUGCGUAGAUAUAAGGAAGAACACCAGUGGCGAAGGCGGAUUACUGGACGACAACUGACGGGGAGGCGCGAAAGCGUGGGGAGCAAACAGGAUUAGAUACCCCAGUAGUC
This 442-nucleotide ribosomal RNA is filed under the name uncultured bacterium. RNAcentral describes it as "partial 16S ribosomal RNA". It matches the Rfam family "Bacterial small subunit ribosomal RNA", at positions 338 to 795 of the family's 1533-position model. The record is from RNAcentral.